ACUUGUGCGGUUCAGUGGUAGAAUUCUCGCCUUCCAUGUGGGACACCCGGGUUCGAUUCCCAGCUCAUGCA
RNAcentral lists this transfer RNA (71 nucleotides) under Loxodonta africana (African savanna elephant). It matches the Rfam family "tRNA". From Rfam's summary of the family: Transfer RNA (tRNA) molecules are approximately 80 nucleotides in length. Their secondary structure includes four short double-helical elements and three loops (D, anti-codon, and T loops). Further hydrogen bonds mediate the characteristic L-shaped molecular structure. tRNAs have two regions of fundamental functional importance: the anti-codon, which is responsible for specific mRNA codon recognition, and the 3' end, to which the tRNAs corresponding amino acid is attached (by aminoacyl-tRNA synthetases). tRNAs cope with the degeneracy of the genetic code in two manners: having more than one tRNA (with a specific anti-codon) for a particular amino acid; and 'wobble' base-pairing, i.e. permitting non-standard base-pairing at the 3rd anti-codon position. Lineage: Eukaryota; Metazoa; Chordata; Mammalia; Proboscidea; Elephantidae. The record is from Rfam by way of RNAcentral.